RNAcentral lists this long non-coding RNA (4989 nucleotides) under Glycine max (soybean). RNAcentral describes it as "long non-coding RNA (GMAX_LNC000022)". Lineage: Eukaryota; Viridiplantae; Streptophyta; Magnoliopsida; Fabales; Fabaceae. The record is from RNAcentral.
UAUUGCUCGCAAGUUAACCCUCACUUUCCUCUAUAUAUUACUAUUUCUCAAUACUUAGACUCAAUUUCUCAGGAACCAAAAAAUUAUAUCCAUAUUAAUUAAGAUGAAAUCAUACCUUUCUGCAUUCCUAUUAUUCCUUCUCCUCCUUAAGCUUGUUGAUAAAUCCAUCUCUGCACGUGUUCCUCCUUCUUCAACCAAAGUAAUAUUCAAGAAGAUUGGUGAGAAUUCAUUGGACAAUGUCAAACAAAAGUUCUCUCCCCAACAGCCAAACUCACCACCGAAGCAAAUCGAAGGCCUAUCUUUCUUCAAAGGGUACUUAUCUAACUUCGGCUACCUCCAAUCCUCCGAGCCAUUCAACGAUUAUUUGGACGAGGAAACCAUAACAGCUAUUAAGACCUACCAGCAAUAUUUCAAUCCUCAACCUACUGUUGACAUAAACAACGAGACACUUCAUUAAAUCAUACUACCACGAUGUGCUGUUCCCGACAUGAACAUCCUCAAGUUUCUAUUACUAAGAAGAAUAAGGCCAAGCAAGUAUUAAAAGUGUGAGAAAAGUCUCUAUUUUCUAAAAUUAAGGAUUCUGGUUCAAUAGUCAAUUUUAGGAUGUUGACCAAUAAUAAGAAAAAAUGUUAAUACUUACUUUUCCUUUUUGAAACAACUUUGGUCACCUUCACCAAGAUGUUAAGUCUGAGGUAGUGUCACUGAAAACCAAAGUGCAGAAAUUAGACAACAGUAACACUACAUUGUAGAAGAUCAUAUUAAAUUCUCGAUCAUCAAAUAUUAAAAUAAUUUUCUUAACAGAAAUUAGAACACUAAUUUGACAUAACUUAUAAUGAUCAUAUCAAACUCUUUUUGAGAUAACUUAUAUGAUCAUAUCAAAUUAAUUAAUCAUUUGAUUAUAUCAAACUCUUUUUGAGAUAACUUAUAAUGACUCAUGAAACUUAUUUCUUCUUUCAUUUAAUUUUCCUGUACAAGAUAUAAUUUUAUUCAUAGAACUCAAACAUAAUACCAAGGGUUAAUGGAUUCCUGUUUGAUUAAUCAUUAAUUUUACAGGUAUUUAAUCAUAUUCAAUAUUCAUUCAACAAGUGUUUUAAAACAUUAGAUGUCCGAAAUCAAAACAUAACAAAUAACCUAUUAAUUAUUAUGACAAUUUUAGGUCAAAAAAAACUAUUAAACCUCUUCUUGAGAAUUUUCUAUUAACUUUAUAGUAAAUUUAAUCAUUAAAAAAUUUCAAUUGAAUCGGUUCAAUGAUUCAUUCAUAUGUAACUCAUUUAUAUAUAUAAAUUAAUAAAUGAGAUCUAUUAAUAUUUAUCCAAUAAAUACUAUCACAUAAAUAUUAAUAUAUUUGAGUUAUUGAUGUCUUAUAUAUAAUAGUUCUAUGAUUAAGAAUAAUUUAUAUUAAAAUUAAAAAAAAAACUUAUUUCUUAUUAUUAUAAUCUUUAUUAUAAUGAUACGUUUUUAAUUUUAAUUAAAGACAUUAUCAAAUAAACUAUUUAAUCAAAUGGUAAAAUAUAAUAAUAUUAUAUUAUUAAAAUUAGAAUUAAUUGAUGACGUGGGACGUAGAAAAUUGAUUACACGUGUACCGUGUGAUUGUAGUUAUCGGCGGAGACAAGUUCAUUCUGUUACACUGUCCGGGAUGAAUUAAAUGUUAAAAAGUACAGAAAGUUUGUGUACUUAUACAAAAUUGACAUAUUAAUGUAAUUUAUUCAUUAUUAUAUUUGUAAUAUGAUACAAGUAUAUAAUUAAAAUAAAACUAGCUAAUAGCAAUAUUUGAAAAUUAAAACCAUGAAAACUUUUAAAAUUAAAACUUAUUGUAAACUGCUUAUAUAACUAGCUAGGGACUGGUUUUGUGUUGCUCGCUUCGUUUUGGGCUUGGAGUCAUUUGCCACUUGCAGGCUGCAGCUGUUGAUAGAAGUUCAUGCACGUACGUCAUUGGGAUAUUCGGGGUCAGUAGUGGUGUGCUGGUAUUUGUUUCCAAUUGGUCAUUUUUGUCUUUUUUUAUUUUGUUAAUUAUUCAAUUUUUGUUCACCUACUAGUUUCUUUUUUGUCUUGUAAGAGAUAUUAUAUUUGCCUUACUUGAAUUUUGAAUUUAGAACAAGUUUUACAUAGAGUUUUAUUAUUGUUGUGGAUUUUAUCUUCUAUGUUUUGUUUUAAUUAAUUAAUUUAUAUUUCAAAUAAAAAAGAUAAAAGAUUCGGUUGUUUAGCAUAUUCAGAUUGGUCGUAAGCCUAUUGGCUUUCUCAUUUUAUGAAUUUUAAUGGUUAUUCUUUUCAUUGUUAAUUUCGCUAUUUUCUCUGUAAGUUCUUUCUAUUUUUAUAUUUUAUUUUAUAAAAUAUUUCGAACUGUAUCUAGAGUUUGAUUCUUAAAUUGAGAUUUUUUUUUUAUUGAGUGUUAAAUACAGUGAGGUUGAGUGCAAACACUGAUUUAUUUGUGUGGUAAAAAUAUGUCUUAUCUCCAACAAUAUAUUAUGAUUAAAAUAAUAUUUAUCAAUUCUUUUAGAAGGCCCAAAGAUAUGCUACUGCAUGACGAAAAUAGAAGUGAUUCCAACAAAGUGAACAUCACAAAUGUUAAUUAACAACCGCACACCAAUAUAUAUUGAAAGAAAAGGAUGUUACAUAAAUUACAACGGGCCCAAACAAAACUCAUGAUAGAAGAGCCUAUUUGAACCUUAAAUUAGCUAUAUAUUGUGAGCAAAAGCUUCCUUCAAUAAAACAAGAUCCCGCACCAAACAAAAUCCUGAAUAAUUAAAACUAAUAUCAUGUGAGGCUAGAUUGUUUACACAAUUAUUACCCUCACGAUAUAUGUGAUCAACCAAAAAUCUUUACAAAUUGAAUAAACUAAUGCUUCAUAUAUAAUAUACCGACUUGAAAUUACAUUAUCAUGUAAUAUACGUUUUUCUUUAUAAGAUGAUAGAUAUAUAUAUAUAUAUAUAUAUAUAUAUAUAUAUAUAUAUAUAUAUAUAUUAUUAAAUUCUAUUUGUAUAUAAAGAUUAUAAUUACUUGGACCAGAGAAGAGUGUUGCCCGACUAAUAACUUGUUUGAGUAAGCAUAUUUAGGAAUACUUAAUUUGAUAAAGAAAUAAGAAGAAAAAUGAAAGAAAUUUCUUCUAAAUUAAUAUUAACUUAUUAAUUUAUAAAAAAUUUCUUGUAUAAUUUCCUUUAAAAGAUAAAAAAAAUAUUUCUAUAAAUUAUUUUAUGCAUAAAUUAAUUUGAACUUGUAGAAAAACUCAUUUUAUUUUUUAUUCUUAUUUUCUUUUUUGUAAAAGUAUUUCUAGAUAAGCUCAUUCGAACAUGUCCUAAUCCAUUUUUACAUACAUUUUUGGAAACAGAAUUUGGCAUACAUAAUUUAAACACAUCAAUGUAUUAAAAUUUCUAACGGUAUCUGAUUUCAUUUUUUUUUGUUGCCAUAUAUGAUUGUUAAUAGAAUUUUAAUUACACCAUUUAAUUUUUGGCCUAAUUGUUCUUUUAUUUUUUUGGUAAAUUUUAUCCUUAAUAAUUAAUUUUGCGUAUUUUAUCACUAAUUUUUUUAUAAAAAAAAACUUGAAAUUUUUUAUCUUUUGUCAUUGAAUUGACCUGACACUCUAAAAUAAUUGAAUUUUUUAUACUCAACUUUUUACUUUUUUGAUGAAUUUUAUUCCAAUUUUUUUCACUUUUUAGUGAGUUUUAUCUUAAGGUUUUUUUUAAAAAAAAAAAUUGGAGAAUUUUACGUUUAAUAUUUAUGCUUAUAUCAACAUGUCAAGUGAGCUCAAUGAAGAGAGAAAAUUAGCAAGUUUUAUAGAAUGUUGACUAAAAUACGUCAAAUAAAUUGUUGAUAGCAAAAUUCACCAAAAUGUAAGAAGUACUUAAGGCUAAAACAACAAUUAAACCUUAAUUUUAUUAUAAUUUGAUCAACCAGGCAAGAUUUACUGAUUUUAAACAUCUCUAAGGGUGUGUUUGGUUGUGUUUAGAAGGAGAAAAAUAGGAAAAAAAAAAUUGUAAUUCGCAUGUGAAACGCACACUCUUUAUCCUCUAUUUUAAUUUAAAAAAAUAUUCUAUUUUCAUUAAUUCUAUUUCCAUCCUCUUCCAAACGAAACAUACCGUAAGAUUUUGAACUCAGAUAUUGCAUAUAGAGGGCACCGCCAUUAAUCAAUGCAUUUGUCUUUUACCUUAUUCGGAAUAAUGUGGUUCAUAAUUGAGUAUAUUUAUUGGCAUUUCAAAGGCUGUAGAAUUGUACUACUGUAUUCUAAUAAUUUAACUAAUUAAUUGAGCAUAUCCGUUAAAAUUUAAAACUCCAAAACCUUGAGCAUAUAUGAACCAUAAUAUUGUAAAGUCACAUAUACCUUAUUGUAUCAUAGUGGGAGUAUUAAUUAUUGGGCUAGGUACGUAGGCGUUACCAUUGCCGGCCAUGAAACGAGGAAAUACUCUCAUCACCAUGUUAAGACACAAUAACCAUUGUAAUUAAUUGUAUCUUAAAUAUUAGAUUGACUCUUUAUAAACCCAGAAAGUUAAUACAUACUCAACCAACCCGCACUCUCCUCCCUCUUGGAAUUAUAUUGCUCGCAAGUUAACCCUCACUUUCCUCUAUAUAUUACUAUUUCUCAAUACUUAGACUCAAUUUCUCAGAAUUAAGAUGAAAUCAUACCUUUCUGCAUUCCUAUUAUUCCUUCUCCUCCUUAAGCUUGUUGAUAAAUCCAUCUCUUCACGUGUCCCUCCUUCUUCAACCAAAGUAAUAUUCAAGAAGAUUGGUGAGAAUUCAUUGGACAAUGCCAAACAAAAGUUCUCUCCCCAACAGCCAAACUCACCACCGAAGCAAAUCGAAGGCCUAUCUUUCUUGAAAGACUACUUAUCUAACUUCGGCUACCUUCAAUCCUCCGAGCCAUUCAACGAUUAUUUGGACGAGGAAACCAUAACAGCUAUUAAGACCUACCAGCAAUAUUUCAAUCUUCAACCUACUGGUAACAUAAACAACGAGACACUUCAUCAAAUCUUACUACCACGAUGUGCUGUUCCCGAC